CAUUCAUUUUCGGAAGUUCGAGUCUACUGAAGAAAAAGUUUAAUUAUGUCUGGACGUGGCAAAGGAGGCAAAGGAUUGGGAAAAGGAGGCGCUAAGCGUCACAGAAAAGUAUUGAGAGAUAAUAUCCAAGGUAUCACCAAGCCAGCUAUUCGUCGUCUCGCAAGAAGAGGUGGUGUAAAACGUAUUUCUGGUCUCAUCUAUGAAGAAACUCGUGGGGUACUCAAGGUGUUUUUGGAAAACGUCAUCCGUGAUGCUGUAACCUACACAGAACACGCCAAAAGAAAGACUGUUACUGCUAUGGACGUCGUCUAUGCUUUGAAACGCCAAGGACGUACUCUCUAUGGUUUCGGUGGUUAAAUCCGACUCAACGUCUAUUUAAAAACAAAAAAACGGCCCUUUUCAGGGCCACCAAAUUAUAUCAAAGAUUUUUAGUUGAUGAUUUUAUACGUAACGCAUUAAUAUUAUAAACAACUUCUGAGUACUGUCUUUAUCAUUUACAACUGAAUAAUAAACUUGAACUUAAGCAAAUUUCACUUAUUAUCGCCAACAUUUUCCCGCCGAUACUUUCGCUAUUGUUAUUUAGAGCAUGUAGGAUAUUUGGUACACCUGCGCAUGAGUUAAAUUUAGCACUGAUGAAUUCAAAUUAUUGUAUGAAAUUUUAAGGCUCCAGUGUAUUCACAAGCUGUUUGUUUGGCAUCAGUAGAUUUACUACCAAGGCUAGAAUUGUCUUGAAAAAUUAUUGUAGAAACAAUCACCUGAUUAUGCAUUUCAUGCACUUUCUGUGCUAGAAAAUGAUUUUUAAAAGUUUCAUAAUCUUCAAGUCUUUCUCGCGGCUGCCCAAUCAGAAUCGGUCGUUUAGAUCACGUGAUCAGUUUUGGCGCCCGAUUUUCCCGCCUUUUUAUCUCGAUCUCGCGACUAACCAAUCAGCGGUCGUUAUUUCUGGCCACGUGAUAUUCCCGCCAAAAAAAGUGUAUAUAAGAAGCUACUUCGCCUCUAGUCCUCACUCUGAAAUUUUGGUUCAUCUGAAUUGACUUGUCAGUAAAAUGGCCCGUACCAAACAAACAGCUCGUAAAUCUACUGGUGGUAAAGCACCAAGAAAACAAUUGGCAACCAAGGCUGCACGUAAAAGUGCUCCAGCAACUGGAGGUGUGAAGAAACCCCAUCGUUACAGACCUGGUACUGUAGCUUUGAGAGAAAUCCGUCGUUACCAGAAAUCGACUGAAUUGCUCAUCCGAAAAUUACCCUUCCAAAGAUUGGUUCGUGAAAUUGCUCAAGACUUCAAGACCGAUUUACGUUUCCAAAGUUCUGCAGUUAUGGCUCUUCAGGAAGCUAGCGAAGCCUAUUUGGUUGGUCUAUUUGAAGAUACUAACUUGUGCGCUAUCCACGCCAAGCGUGUUACUAUCAUGCCUAAAGAUAUUCAAUUGGCAAGAAGAAUCCGCGGAGAAAGAGCUUAAGAUGCGAUUUGAGAUAUUUUAAAACAAAAGGCCCUUUUAAGGGCCACCAAACUUUAACAAAGGUCUUUGAUAAUUUAUAAGCCGUUUUUAGUUAAGUUGAUUUAAGUAAUAAAUUUUAUAAAGAACAUUUACAUAAGUGAACUGUUUAUAUCAAGUGCUGUCAUAUACUCAGUUGCAUUUACUCAUCUGGUUGACAGGGUGCGAUUGGUGUUUUUUUAUCGACACCUAUUCCAGAUUCAUCGUCUGAAUCAGGUGGUAGGGCGCAUAUUUCCUCUAAUUCUUUUUCUACUUGUGCAACUUCUUCUCUAUCCAUAAUAGAUUCAGGUCUUUGUAAUUCUGGGUUUUGUGGGGCUUUUUCAUUUUCAUCGUGUGGUACUUGGUUAGGUAGAGGUGUAUGAGCAGGUCUCGGAGAAUGAGUCAAGUUUCUGGGACUAUUUACAAUCAUUGGGGUUUCGCGUAUACUGAUUGGCGUGACGGAAGUUUUGGGGGCAGGUGUUGUCCCCUGAUAGAAUCUAUCUCCGAUGGACAAGUCAGGCGAAACAGCGAGUCUAAGCAUUUCAUUAACAUGUUUCUUAUCAUCUUGCUUUCUCAGUAAGUAGAUGAGAGUUACAACCAAAGUAAAAGCUGCUACAAGCGAAAAGAAAACUGCCAGGGCUACAACAUGAGCGGAUAGGCCGUUAUCAACAGGCAUUGGAGGAAUUUCAGUGGGUUUUGUAUCUUCUAGGAACCCUUUUUGAGCUAGAUACGACUGUGACUGUGCAGCCAAGAAGGGAUCACCUGUGGACUCUUUAACUGCUUUUCCUAUAGAUUCUUGACUCUCAGUUGUUUUAAUUAUCUUUUCUAAAAUGGUGUUAGGGACGUCAAAUUUAUUUAUAUCUCUCUUCUUUCUAGACGUUGUUGACGACGACGAUGAAUUUUUGUCAUCUACAGGUAGAGGUAUCUUACAAAGCUCAUUAUUCCUAUCUAUCAGAGCAAAUAUCAUUACUCUGGCCCCGCUUUCGUUGGGUAUAUAUCUUGGAUAUGCAGUAGCAGUAUGAAAGUCUUUGCCAAAGCAAUACUUAUCUAAGCUGUUUAUAGGGUUAGGUGGAUCUUGAAGGCAACAUUCCCUAUAUUGCUCAGCAUUAGCAGUACAAUACGAUUGAAGCUGUUUGCAGAAGACAUUAAAAAUUGUUGAUUCUAUUGUCUCCCAAAGAAUAGGCAAUAAUGAUUUGAAAUCAAGUAUAACUGAUUUAUCCGCUUCACUCUUUAUAGCAUAGCAACUUGGAGACUUGUAGUUGCAUAGAGCAUAUUGAAGACUCUCUCCAGGACAUCUUCUUCCAGGAGAUGGAGGUGGUUUGUCGCAUUUGCGACUUUUCUGCCUUCUACCAUGACAGGCUUUCGAACAUGUAUUCCAAGCAGACCAUGUACUCCAUUGGCCAUCGGUUUGAGAGCAAGCUCUGCCAUCUGCGUCUAAGAUGUAAUAUCUAUCGCAUGUACAGUUGUAGCCACCUUUUGUGUUCAAGCACGUUGAAUGGUCUUUACAUUGAUGCUUGUGUUCUGGAUCGUCCGUUGUGCAUUCGUCAAUAUCAACGCAUACAUUUCCAUCGACCAAGAAGCCUCCUUUGCACUCACACCAAUCGCUACCAUCUUUUUGAACACAUAAUUGUUCACAAGCAUUAGCUACAUUCUCAUCGAAACAUUUGUCCGCAACGAUACACUUUUUGCCAUCGCUACCCAACCUAAAUCCUUGUCGGCAGAAACAUCUGUACGAUCCCUGAGUAUUUUUACAAUCUAAUUCACAGCCGCUAAUUGAUCUACAAAGAGAGCAUAUCGAAACAUGCACCUUAUUCUUAUAUCAUAUUUAUAAUUGUAGGUAUUCUUACCUGCUUGAGCAUUCGUCUACAUCCACACAAUCGUCGCCGACUUUCUUAUAACCUUUUUGACAUUCACACAUAUAACUGCCUUCAGUAUUUAUACACAUUUCAGUGAGUUUACAAGGACUAGUCAGGCAUUCGUUUAUGUCUUUGCAAGUAAACCCGUCUCCUAAAUACCCAGGCUUACAUCUGCAGUUGUAGGAGCCGGGCGUGUUUGUACAAAGUGCAAUAUCAGUACAACCCCUGGCAGAGGGAUCUUCACCAAUACAUUCGUUCAAAUCUAUACAAUAUGUUUCAUUUCUUUUUCUGAAGCCUGGUAAACAUUUGCAUGUAUAGCUGGAUUUUGUGUUUAUACACUGAGUUCCUGCUAAACAUGUAUGCAAAUUUUCUGUACAUUCGUCUAUGUCGAUACAACCCGAUUGAAAAGAAUCGUGUCUAUAACCAUCAGGACAUUGACAUUCAUAAGAACCUUCUUUAUUGAUACAAGUUGCAAGACCUUUACAAGGGUUGCUUAUGCAUUCAUCUAAGUCAACACAUCCAAUACCAUCAAAAGUAAAACCCUUAUUGCAGAUACAAGUGUCGUUACCGUUUCUCUUUGCGCAGACGCCUGAGCUACCGCAAGCUAAUUGGAGGUUGCAAGCGUACGAUUCAUUGAGAACGCAGGAGAUUUUAUCUUUGUGUAGAUGAAAUUCAGGAUGACAUGUGCACAGGUAUGACCCUUGAGUAUUCAUGCAAAAGUGCUUACAAGGGUUAUUCGGUAAGAGGCAUUCGUUAACAUCAUGGCAGUUUUUACCAUCUUGAUGCAGCACGUAGCCAGAAGAGCAAGAGCACUCGAAAGAACCGAGUGUGUUUUCGCAGUAGGUUGAGCAGCCACCAUUGUUUUCAAGACAUUCCUCAACAUCGACACAGGUUAUACCAUCUCCCACAAAGCCAUCCAUGCAGGUGCAAGCAUAGCUACCGUUCAUAUUUCUACAGGUAGCCUUUUCCGAGCAUUCAUUUGCCACAGCGUAUCCACAUUCGUCAACAUCAUAACAACUUCCAUUCCUACCUUCAACAAAACCUUUCGGACAUGUGCAUAUGAAAGAACCUUCAGUAUCUUGACACAAAUGUUUACAAUUAUGAAUGUUUAAUUCACAUUCAUCUAUAUUUAAGCACAUUGUUCCUGAUCCAAAAGAUUUAAAGCCAUCUUUACAUCUGCAGCUGUAUCUUCCCAUUGUAUUUUCACAAUUACUAUUUUCAGGACAAUUGAAGCUACCUAUUGAGCAUUCGUCUAUAUCUACGCAUAGUGUGAUAUUAGCAUUGUCUAACUCCCAUCCACUCGGACAAAUACAUUUGUCAGGAAUGUCUGUCACUGCUUGACAAAAACCUCCGUCACAGUUCAAAGAGUUACAACUCUUUUUAGGCAUACAUCUAGUAUAGCCAUCCAGCACAGAGGCUGCUCCGCAACCACAAGUAUAGUGAGCUCCAUUUGCUGUGCAUACGUCAUCACAUUCUUCAUCGUAAGAACAAAGAUCUCGUUUUGUACAUUCAACUUCAUUCGAUGAUUGAUAACCCCAACCACAAUCGCAUGUAUAUCCUCCUAACUUAUUAAUGCAUAGUCGUUCGCAACCACCAUUAUUUUCCAAGCAUUCGUCUAUAUCCUGGCAGGUUUUUUCUUCCGUUAGUGCAUAGCCCCUCGGACAUUCGCACACAUACGAUCCGCUUCCAUCUUUGCAAAAGCUACCAACACCGCAGUCAUUAAGUUCACCGUUUAGGCAUUCUUUUUUAUCUUUGCAGGAGUAGCCAUCAGCGUGAAGAAAAUAGCCAUUAUAACAAGAGCAAUUAUAACUUUUAUCGGUGUUGAUACAAUUAUGCUCGCAUUUGGCUCGUAAAGGAUUCUCUGAGCUAAGAGAGCAUUCAUUAAAAUCGUAACAAUUAGUUGUUGUCGCCACUCUAGUUUUAGAACAAGGUGAACACUCGUAUUCAUUUUGAUUGACAUCUGUAACAUUUUUAUCAAUACAUUUACCAUAGCACAGUCGUUCAGUCUCGCAAACAUUUAAAUCUUUAUCGCAUAAAUCUCCAAACCAACUUGUUUUACAUUGACAUUUUGCAAAUAUCAUAUUAUUUUCAUAUCUAAGAGAACUAAAAUCGCAAGUACCAUGAUUUUUACAAUUGCAGAUAACUAAAUUAGGAAACCAAACGAAUUUAGCUCCAAAACUAUUCGCUAUCGUUAUCUGUAUUCUAUUCGGUUUAUUUAGGGUAAAUUUCACAUUUGCUGAGAAAAUUCCACUUGAAACCUUUUGAAUUUGUUCAAUGCUUAUACUACCAGAUAGAGCAUCUACAAUGUUACCAGUAAAGCUAAUAUCUUGUUGAUUCUUAUCUUCUGCUGUCAUUGAGAAGACUUUUUCUUGACCUAUGAUUACGUUAAUCGUUUGCUGAGGUGUAGUAGGUGGUAAAUUUUUGAUAAUUUCUAGAUUUUUCACCAUAUCUUCUACGAAAUUAGCAGUUUCAUUUGCGAAUUUAUCAUUAUUAGUUACUUUUAAAUCGUGUUGACAAUAUUUAAUGCUAGUUGACUGACGUCCAAUACAAAUUCCAGUAAUUGUUUCAGUAUCAAUUUCAGAAGCUUGUGGUAAGAAUUUUUCCCUAAAGUAUCUAUUGGCUGAGUUGAAGAUAAAUUCUUUAUUGUAUACGCUAAAUAACGAUCGCUUGGUUGCGUAUGUUGGUCCAACUAAUUUUCUAAGUGACCACUUUGUAAAAGUAUCAGCGGAAAUAGGUGAUUCGCCCAAAAUUCCUUUAAAGUUUUCCACACUAUCAGCUGUGGAGAGUAGCAUAUUUAACCCUUUCUCGCUUUUUAUUAUCUUUACCGAACAGUCAGAAGUGUAGGAAAUGACAAUUGAAUAUCCGCUGUUAAUAACUUCGGCGUUGCCUAUACUAACUUCCCCCACAUCAAUUUCUUUGGACUGGCUAACUACUUUUAGAGGUAAAUCAUUUUGCCAAUAAAUCUCUAUUGCAGCAUUAUUAAGUUCUUUAAUUGCCACUGCAGAUAUUGAAGAUAGUUUCUCUCCUAAACGAGAUUUCACUUUUAUAUUUUGACGAAGAUAAACCGCCUCUAUUAGUUUUGUAUUCAUUGCAUUGCCAGCAGUUUGAUUUUGAAGGGGUGCAAAGAACCCCACAGCAAGAAGAAUAUGCAUCCUUAUCUUUCGAAUGAUCUGCUGAAUUCCAUUUAUAUUUGUGCAAAAGCGAUUGAUAUUCGAAUUGCAAUGAUUCGUCAACUUUGCUAAGAAAUGCUUCUGAUGUUGGAGAAUAGCAGCACGUUACUGUUUGACUUGUCAAAAUUUUCCUGAAGCACUUUCUCGAUUCUUUUUCAAAUGUUAGCGUGAAUGAUGGUAAAGCUUGGACAACUCUUAAAGAUGGUGGACAUGAAUCUUUUAAUAUGUCCUUCCAGCUUUCAUCUUUGCCCUUCAUUGCAGAUAGAGCCUCAAAACAUUUAAUCUUAUUUUCAUCCCCAGUAACAGUUGAAUUGGGAUGAUUCAAGUUAAAAACGAAAAUGCCUUUAGUCAUAUUUAACUCUCUUUGCAGGGGAUUCAAGUCCAUUCUAUAGACAUUAUCAUUUGUACUUGUCCAUGUGGCUGAUAAUUUAUGUUCAAAGUAUUUAUCAUUUCUUAUAUAACCCAUUCUUGCCGGAUAUCCCUCAUAUAAAUUUGUUAUAUCUCUCGAGUUAAAUGAAGUGGGGAUCCAAUUCAUUUCGUUUUCUUUAUACAAAUAUACGCAAUAGCUUUCUUUAAAGUCAGUUGCUAGAAUAACUUGGAAAGUGUUCUUUUCGAUAUACAGUGACUCGUAAGCGGGUGCUACGGUAUCCCAUGUAACUUUCAAAAGCCAUUUCGGUUUAAAAGAUACAUUAUAUGCUGAAAGGACUAUAUUCUUUAUCUUCUCAUAUUUAGCAUCAUUAUUAUUUUCGUAUACAUUGUACCAUAUUUUGUAGAAUUUUGAUGUGCUUGAAAUAUCCGACCAGAAUGGAGCUAGCAACAUUCCUAUCCCUGUUGGUAGUUUUAGCUCUUUAAAGACUUUCGGGUAAGAAAAUGUUGGUUUAACAAGCAAUCUCUCAUAGGUUAAGGCGAUAAUUCCGUUUUCUGAUAUGUAUACUCCCGAAUAUAUUUUACCAUCGUCUAAAGGUAUACCUCCAGGAAUUUUCAGUGUUUCUGAUAAUCUUUCUCUGGUAAUUCUGCUUAUCUUUAAUAAUAAUUUGUCUCCUUCCGCUUCGCCGUAUUCCAUCAAUCGUAUUUCUUGACAACUUUUAAGUUUGUUCGAAGAAUCUUUUAUAGGUCUAUAUUUAUUGGGGCAAGAACAAGUAUAUGAACCCAAUGUAUUCGUGCAUAUUGUUGUUUUCGGACAGGGAGAUUUUUUACAUUCAUCAAUAUCUGUACAAUUUACUCCAUCACCUUCAAAGCCACUUUUACAAACACACUUAAAGGAUCCUAAAGUAUUAAGGCAAAGACUAUUUGGCGCUAAACAAUCGUGUAUCAAUGUUUGAGGAGCCUCUUCUUCUGUACACUCAUUUAUGUCUCUACAUCUUUGAAAAACGCCAUUUUUCAUUAAGGGUGUGAAACCAUAUUUACAUUCGCAUUUAUAAUUCCUUCCUGUGUCUAUAUAAGAGCACAUCCCAUUGUCUUGUGUGAAACAUGGAUUCUUUUCACACCACUUUACUCUAUUAGCUAUACAUGUGCCAUUUCCAGUACAAUUUUUAUAUUCAGCAUAGGUUUUCCCUGGCUCUUUUUUACACGGUCUUCCACCGUUCUCUGGAGCCGGAUUAUUACAUAUAAUUUCCCUUUUGCUAUAGCCCAUAUCACAAUCUGAGGAACAUAAAGACCACGCUGUCCACUCGGACCAUCCUCCAUGAGCUAUUUCGCAUAAAUUUCCUUCGUAGGUAGAAUUAAAGCAUUCACACUUAACACCGCUUCCAUUUUCAGUACAAUUUCCUCUCGAAUUACAAGAGGUCGGUGUGCAUUCUUUUAUAUCAGUACAAUUAAAAGGAUCUCCUUCAAAGCCAGGUUUACAAACGCAACUGUAGGAGCCAGAAUUAUCGACACAAGUUGAAUUUUCUGUGCAAUUAUGCAAAUUUUCAACACAUUCGUCUAUAUUUUCACACGAGUAAGUGUUUGCAGCAGGAUUAAAAUUCACUCUUCUAUAGCCAUCCUUACAACCACAUUCAUACGAGCCAAUAGCAUCAAUACAUUUAGCAUUUUCAUGCUUCUGUUUACAUACAGAUUCGUAGAGAAUACAUUCAUUAUCAUUUUGACAAUCUCUUCCUCUUUGGAUGAAACCUUUAUUACAAGUACAUGUAUAAGGUGAACCAGAAUAGCUUUGUAAAUUAUAAUUGGCAUCUGUACAAGUUGAAUUUACAUGGCAUUUGUGUAAAUUUUGUGUACAUUCAUUAACGUUUUCACCGCAAUCGUAUAUUACUUGUUCCAAAUCCAAGUUAUUUAUUUCAUUCACCUCUGACACAACAUUUAAAGCGUCUACAAUUAUACCUACAUAGGGUUUGUUCCAACAGAAAUCAGAUAGCGAUCUUAUCAAUGGAAUUUCAACAGAUUUUAAUUGGAUUGUAGUUCGUAAGUUAUUUUUAGAUGAAAUUUCCAUUUGUUGAAUUUGUAACGUAUGAUUUUGCACUAUGAUUGGAUCAUCGUUUGCCUGAUAAACUUUAUCGUUGGAAAAGAUUAAACCAAACUUAAAGUUGACUUCAUUGCCACUUUUUUCAGGCAAUUUAAAAGAGCCUGUUGUUAUUAUUACAAUCGUCAUUUCAAUAUCAAUUUUGUCGCCUGGUCUGAUAGUUUUCUCUUGGAUAUUUAACAACUUUAAAUCUUCUAUAGAUAAGUCAAUUUUAUCACCACAAACCGAAGAAAUUGGUGCCAAGAAAGCAUCCCACUCAAGCUUGUUAUUCUUUUCAUUCGUUUCCGCAAGGCUAUGUCCCGAGUCUAUUUCUAUUUCCAAUUUCGCAGAUCUAACAUUGCAAAGAAACAAAUGAUCUUCUUCCGUUAGGGUCAAACCUGGAACUUCUCUGGCGAUGUAGACUGUAGUUGUUGCGGAUACUCCCUUAUUUAUAUCAGUAAUCAAGUUUUGACUAUUAUAUGAAAUUUUUUUACGGAUGUCUUUAUGAGAAAUGUAAAAUCCGACAGUAUAUAGUAGAGGAUCUGUUUGUCCACUAGGAAAGUUUCCCCAGCCUCCACUUCCACUUAUUUCAAUAAAAGUUGUAAUAUUAAAACCCAUAUCGUGGUUGAAGGUAUAAUUAUGACUGUAUACAUUAUCUAACCACUUGAAUGCUAUUGGUUGUAAAUCUCUCCAAUGGUCUUGACAGUCAACUGCUAUUUUAAAUUCCAUAUGAUUGUUGUUCAUAUAACAUUCAGGUAUUGAUGGUGCAAUAACUUCUAAACCUAAUAUAAAAUGUCCACUUCCUAGAUAGGGACACACUAUAUUCAUGUUAAUAUCUCCAACCCAUUUAGGAGUUUCUACAGUUGUUCCCUGCUUAAAAGUGUUUAGGUAUCUUCCAUUUGGAAGCUUACUUGACCAAGAACUAGGAGUUACGUAGUAUCUUUGUGAAUUGACUUCGUCUUUUCUUAUGUAAGCUCUCAUUUCAAAGCUCGCCAUAUGCUUGAGUGGAACAAUAUCUUUAUCGAAUAUGUUUUUGACUGUUGCAACAACGCUGAUAGGUGAACCGUCUUUAUAAUACACGUCUUCCUUUUCCAGUUGAAUAUCAACCAAAUAAAGAACAUCACUGUGGCACUUAAUAUCAAUCUCUAUUGGAUAGACGUUAUUACCUUCGUCAAAUUCUUCGAUUAUAUUAUUUUCAUCCAGUACUAUAAGGAGAUAAGCUGGCCCACAAAUUACUAAUUUUUCUAUUUGUAAAUGUAAAGUUAGAUUAACUUCUGUUGAUUUAUCAAAUUUUUUCAUUAGUUUUGUUAUAUUAUAUUCAUUUUUGACCUUAUAACUUUCUUUUUCG
Molecule: unclassified non-coding RNA, 10280 nt
Filed under: Dimorphilus gyrociliatus
Lineage: Eukaryota; Metazoa; Annelida; Polychaeta; Dinophilidae
Description: histone H3
Rfam family: Histone 3' UTR stem-loop (bases 387-433)
Source: RNAcentral